Molecule: long non-coding RNA, 270 nt
Organism: Megalobrama amblycephala (Wuchang bream)
Lineage: Eukaryota; Metazoa; Chordata; Actinopteri; Cypriniformes; Xenocyprididae
Exons: 2
Source: RefSeq, a predicted model, not a curated record
CUCGCAGGCAAUCGGGGAGACGUCAAGAGAGAAGCCCAUAGAUAUAGAGUCCAUAAAAGCAACGGGACAAAAUAUUUCAACAACGUUUUUGGGGAAUUGGAAAUAAUUCGAUCUACGCUUGAAGAUGAAUGUGAUCCCUUUCAUCCUGGUCGGAAGCCAUCUACAAAAUGUCAUAGCCUACAUAACGUGAAAUAAAGAAAAAAGUUUUUUGUUCAAGUGUUUUUGACCAUGAUUUAUUAGCCAAAACUGCAUGAUUUAACACCUAGCUCA